GGGCCGGUAGCGUAACGGCCAUCGCGCUUCCAUGGCAUGGAAGAGACUAGGGGUUCAAAUCCCCUCCGGUCCA
Molecule: transfer RNA, 73 nt
Filed under: Patescibacteria group bacterium
Lineage: Bacteria
Description: tRNA-Ala
Rfam family: tRNA
About the family: Transfer RNA (tRNA) molecules are approximately 80 nucleotides in length. Their secondary structure includes four short double-helical elements and three loops (D, anti-codon, and T loops).
Source: RNAcentral